Molecule: long non-coding RNA, 200 nt
Filed under: Elaeis guineensis (African oil palm)
Lineage: Eukaryota; Viridiplantae; Streptophyta; Magnoliopsida; Arecales; Arecaceae
Description: long non-coding RNA (EGUI_LNC068560)
Source: RNAcentral
UGAUGCUGUAGUGGUGUGAGUGGUCCUUUGACCUGCGGUGUCAUCGGCUAUUCGAGUGAGGCUACUAAGUUUGAUUGCAUGUUCUCUUGGUCCCUAGCCAUUUGAGAUCUUGCUGUGUAUGUUGGCUUCAAUCGGUUCAAGUACACUAUUUGGAGUAGAAUGCAUCUAGAUAAAAUCUAUCGACCUUGAUAGAAAAAGAG